Long non-coding RNA from Dipodomys spectabilis (banner-tailed kangaroo rat), 960 nucleotides. RefSeq lists it as uncharacterized. The record is from RefSeq and is a predicted model, not a curated record. The transcript has 2 exons. Lineage: Eukaryota; Metazoa; Chordata; Mammalia; Rodentia; Heteromyidae.
GAACAAGAUGACUUUGCACUGCAAUUAAGAAUGGAAGAGCCAGAAAACUGCGGUCUGAUCCAUCAAAAAUCCACAGAUAGUCAAGAACUGAGUCCUUCCAUUACGUAGAAGUCUCAACAGAAUGGGAAAGGAUGCCUGAACGACCCCCUGCCCUCGAAAGGCCACUUCUACCUCAUUUCCUCAUGACUCUAUGGACUGGAUUUCUCUCGUCACCUUGGAGACACUGAGGAGUGAAAAAACACUGGGCACCAUGACAAAGCCUUGCAGGGAGGGGGGAACUGAGGUGUCAAGAAUGUUCUCUGGAAACUGAGAUCCAUGGAAUUAGUGGGCAUUAAAUAGAGAGGAAGGUGUGGAUGGCAGACAGAAUAAUAUUUGGUCAAAGACAAUGUGAGCAGGGAGCUGAGCGAGUCAAAGAGCUGCCUGAGACUACAGCAAUGACCAGUGAAAGGAGCACAAGGCAAAACCGAGGAGUUGAAUCCUGUAAGUGUGGAGAACUUUGAUCUCCACCCACAGAUCAUGGAGAAGCCAUAAAAGGCAUUAUGCAAGUGUGGCUUACUGCUACUUCCCGUGGCUGGGGACUCAACUUCGCGACUUAGCUGUGAUGAGCAGUGGAGGCAUGGCAUUUUCAAGACUACCCACUACAAGGGCCCUGCUGCUGUCUCCUUGCUCUUCUAGUCUGGAAUCACUGGCUGUGGGAGGAGCCAGUGCUCAAGUUGUAGGACACUCAGCUCUACACAGAGCUCCACAAGGCGAGGAAGUAGAGCUUCCUGUGUCGGAGCAGAAGCCUCCUCCCAGCCACCAUCUUGGAAGUGACUUCCCCAGCCCUUGAAUAACAGCUACCCUGCUGACUGCUUGACUGCUAUCCCAGAAGAAACUCAAGCCAGGGCUUAAAGCUAAGUGUCUCUUGAAUUCUUGACACAUGGAGACAAUCAAUAAAUGCUUACUGUUUUAGGCUGCUAA